AUUCUUACUUAUUCUCUCUCCUACCCUUCAAUUCUCUCUCUCCUUCUUCUUCUUCUUCCUUCUCCCUCCUACCUUCUAACGCACGCUUUCAAAGCUUUCCAUAAAGCUUUUCCCCCCAUAAUCAUCUAUAUAUAACGCAGACAAUUCCAGUUUCACGCACCUCACGCCUAGUAAAAAAAAUUAAAGAAAAAAAAGAAAAGAAAAAACAAAUUCCAUAUUAUUUUCUUUUCUUUAAUUUUAAUUUUUUUCUCUUCCAAAUUCUCACGACGAUCUUACAGUUAUAUAUAAUCCCCAUCCAUCUCCAUGUCCACCGACCUUCAUCUUCACCACAACCUCCCUAAGCUCCGAAUCUCUCCGAUCAAGAUGGAGAACACAUCAAGAAUCCACUCUUCAAACCAAAACGACGCCGUCGCCGUCGCCGAAGAACGACCUGAGGCGGUUACAGACCGCAACGACGGUGGCGCCGUUGUUUUGAGCGUUGUUGAGGUGGAGCAGGAGGAGGAGGAGGAAGAGAGCUACAGGACGCCGACGUCGAAGGAGAGCAAGAUUCCGGAGAUGAGUUCCAGUUCUUUGAUGUGAACAAUAAGGAAGACAUGGACGCUUUCUUCAGAUCUACUUUUCCUAAGAGGACAUGCUCCUGUACAUGAUCAUCAUCAUCUUCUUCUUCUCUCUCAUUAUCUGAAAAAAGAAAAAACGGUUAUUAUAUUUCCACGUUUUAAUUUGGCUUCCUCCAAGCUGAUGGAAUGUGAAGCUACGUAAAUUACACAAUUUUUAAUUAGUUUCUUCUUUAAUUUCUUCUUCCUUCUCCUUCUUAUAAAAUUCCGAUUCCGAUCCAUCACUUGUUGGAUUAACUCUACUCUUUUUUCUUCUUUUCUUUUUUUUUCUUUUUUUUUUAAUUAUAUUGUUUUUAUGUUACAUAUAUUUCACUUGUAUAAGAUGUGAAAUAUUGGAUCGUCCUGAAUUAAUCGUGUCUGUUCAUUAAUUAUAAAAUUCAGAAUCGACAUAUAUAAUCCUUGAAUUCUCUAAAAUUGUGAA
Molecule: RNA transcript, 1035 nt
Organism: Arachis duranensis
Lineage: Eukaryota; Viridiplantae; Streptophyta; Magnoliopsida; Fabales; Fabaceae
Exons: 1
Source: RefSeq, a predicted model, not a curated record